CCGGAGUAGUAUGAAUAGUCAUAUUUAAAACUCAAAGGACUUGGCGGGGUCUUACACCACUUAAGGGAACCUGUCUCGUAAUCGACAGUCCACGUUAUACCUGACCUUCUUUUGUUUAACAGUUUGUAUACCGUUGUCGUCAGGUAACUUUUUAAAGAAUUGAAGUUAGCAAUAUAAAUAGAUUAUUUAAUACGUCAAAUCAAGGUGCAGCUAAUAAGGAGGGGAGGAUGGGUUACAAUUAUUUACUUAUAAUCACGGAAGUAAACAUAAAAGCAUUUUACUUAAGGAGGACUUAAAAGUAAAUUAAUAUAUAGAUAUAAUUUGAAUGAGGCUCUGAAACGUGU
Molecule: ribosomal RNA, 344 nt
Filed under: Hastula matheroniana
Lineage: Eukaryota; Metazoa; Mollusca; Gastropoda; Neogastropoda; Terebridae
Description: partial 12S ribosomal RNA
Source: RNAcentral